Phoenix dactylifera (date palm) is the source of this 741-nucleotide non-coding RNA. Lineage: Eukaryota; Viridiplantae; Streptophyta; Magnoliopsida; Arecales; Arecaceae. The record is from RefSeq and is a predicted model, not a curated record.
CCGGAGCUGCUCCGCGUCCUGGGCCGGACGCGGGUCUCGUCGGCGGUGUCGGGAUCCAAGUCCAUGGCUACGAGUCUUCGUUGCACGAUCUCUCUUUCGCUCGUCCGGCGUCGUCCGGCGACUUCGAACGUGGCGAAAACUACGAGUACAACAAUUCUCAUCUGGCGUACACACGUUAAGGAAUAUGCCAAGAAGACUUGGAAGGGGAGAGGAUAAGAAGAGAAGAAAGAAAAAGUCUUGAGGUAAGAGAAAGGAAGCAGGUUAGAAAUUUCCAUCCGGGGAGAAAAGAUGAGGAAGGCGGUGCAUGCAAUUGAAGGCAGAGGGCCCACUCAAUGAGAAAUGACCGUAAUGUGAUUUGGUCAUAAACCUUCCUCCCUUCCCAUCAAUGAUUAUAAUUUUUUCUAAAUAAAACAUAUAAUGUAGCCCAAAUUUGACAUACAUGAUACAUAGCACACAGAAAGAUCUAUUUCAACCGAUUCUGAUAACAAAAGCUAGAGGCAGCUCUUCGCUUGACUUGGACUCUUAGCCAGCAGAGUGGACUCAGCUACAGAGUGCUCAUCUCAUACAUACUAUUCUACUGUUCUGCUCUUCAAGACUUUCUUCUACUUUUUUUGUCCUUCAAAGUUCUAUUUGAUUUAAGCAUCAGAAAGUCUGCAGCUAGAUUAGUUCCGACAACUUUUGAUUUUAGUGCUUCUUCUUGUGUUCAGAUUAGAGCUCUUCCUCCUAGAGCAGAUCUGCCAC